Molecule: unclassified non-coding RNA, 251 nt
Filed under: Hevea brasiliensis (rubber tree)
Lineage: Eukaryota; Viridiplantae; Streptophyta; Magnoliopsida; Malpighiales; Euphorbiaceae
Source: RNAcentral
GGAGAUUUGAAGAGGGACUGAAUGACAAUAUCAAGAUACAGCUCACUGCCUUGGGAAUCACAGAAUUUAGCAAGCUAGUGGAAGCUGCAAUAAGAGUUGAAAAAGUGAGAAUCAAUGAGCAGACCAGAAGGGAUAGACAGCAGAAGAGGGGACCAGGUCAGUCUAGUUCCGCUCCUGGAUUUGGGAAGAAGUUUAAGGGUCCUCCUGCACAGAGUUCGGGUCAGUCUCAGGGGCCCAGGCCACAGUUCACC